This 301-nucleotide ribosomal RNA is filed under the name uncultured bacterium. RNAcentral describes it as "partial 16S ribosomal RNA". It matches the Rfam family "Bacterial small subunit ribosomal RNA", at positions 509 to 807 of the family's 1533-position model. The record is from RNAcentral.
CAGCCGCCGCGGUAAUACGUAGGUGGCAAGCGUUGUCCGGAAUUAUUGGGCGUAAAGGGCUCGCAGGCGGUUUCUUAAGUCUGAUGUGAAAGCCCCCGGCUCAACCGGGGAGGGUCGUUGGAAACUGGGAAACUUGAGUGCAGAAGAGGAGAGUGGAAUUCCACGUGUAGCGGUGAAAUGCGUAGAGAUGUGGAGGAACACCAGUGGCGAAGGCGACUCUCUGGUCUGUAACUGACGCUGAGGAGCGAAAGCGUGGGGAGCGAACAGGAUUAGAUACCCCAGUAGUCCCUGUCUCUUAUAC